Bubalus bubalis (water buffalo) is the source of this 1477-nucleotide long non-coding RNA. RefSeq lists it as uncharacterized. The transcript is spliced from 9 exons. The record is from RefSeq and is a predicted model, not a curated record. NCBI's taxonomy places the organism in Eukaryota, Metazoa, Chordata, Mammalia, Artiodactyla, Bovidae.
CUGCGCGGGCCCCGCCCCUACGCCGUCCUGCGGGCACGCGCACGUAGGCGCGCAAGGGGCGCGCCUGGAGACGCGCUUGCGCAGCGGGGUUGCACAGAACUGCCUCUGGGUGAAUUCUGAGGCCAGUUAGGCUGUACUGAGGGUUUGGAUUUGCUAAGACUGGUGUCAUACAGGUGACUCCUUUGAACUGCUUUCCCCACUUGAAUUCUGAAUAACUUUCAAGAGCCAGGUGAGAAAAGGGUGGUGUUAUAGAAGAGACCACUGGAUAUAUGCCAGCAGAAUACUUCAGUGCUUUAAGUGGUCCAUUCAAAUUUAAGUGAAAUAAAGCAGUGAGGACAUUCUGACAAGAAGCAAUUUAGGACUCACCUGUCAGAGAACAAUUGUGAAGACAUGAAUUUGAGCAUAUCACAUCCUGAGCAUUAAGAAGACUAUAUCUGCUAAUAUACCCAUCCUUGUUGACUAUUUACAGUUUUACCCAACUCCUGUUCCACCUCGGAUCAUCAGGCAUUGGAUUUUGGAAGUUGGAGACCCCUGCUUUAAGAUGCUUCAUGUAUAAAAGGAGGAAAGCAAUGCUUGCCUUACCCACAUCAGAGGCUUGUUCUGAGAAUCUUAAAUGUGAAGCUUUGGCUUUAUGCUGAGAGUCAGCAUGGAGGGGUCCACCCCAGGGCCGUUAGUUCAUCCUCUGCAUUAUGGUACCCUUCCUGCAUCAAGAUGCCUACUAUUGCUAAUGACAUGUCUCAGCACAUCAUAGGUUGCUGGGCUGUGAAAUUUGGGAGAAAGAAGAUGAAAGUAUAAGAUGAUGGCUUUUUGCAGCAGCGUGGAUGCUGAAAUGUACAGAACACAUUGUUUACAGCAUCUCUGGGCUGUGAAUCAGCUGUGAUUACAGCUGGCUGGGGCAGAGCUGAAAGGGCAGAGGCAUCAAAACCCAGCUCAUUUUUUAAAAAACACAAAUCCUUUUCACUGCCCGUGGACGAAAUGACUGACUGACAUGCUAAACCUAUUAAAUAUGUAUUUUGCAAAUUUCGAAAUGAGCAAAAAUGCUAUGUAAAAAUUUUUACAGAUGCUGAAUGAUUGUAAAUGUGGUUAAAGAUGUGGGACUGGCUCCAACUUUGUUCUUUCGUGGGCUGCUAUUAGCUUACAUUUGAAAUCUCUGUUGGCCACGUAGUCCACAUUGUUCUUCCAAAUGUAAUCAUUUCUCUCUUUUAUCUGAUCUCCUACAGUCUUUCUGUUUUCAUCAAUAUCUGACAGCAAUUCCCAAAGAUCCAAUAGCGUCCACUCUAAUAUCCUUAUGUGUACUCUUUUCUCUCUUUGAAAUCUAAUACCUUAGCAGUGAAAUAAUUUAUUGUGCUUUAUUUAGUCUUUUAUUUUUUGCAUGUGUUUUGAUACUAUCCUUUUGAAAAGAGUUAUUUGGAAAUUUAAACCAACUGUUCACCAAAAGUUAUGAAAGCAUGAUUAAAAAAUUUUCUCUGUUUUUAAA